AUCUGAUAUACUUUGAUUUAUCCUUGCAUGGAAAUGGGAUCAUCUUCAACUUUUCCCUUUCUUUUUUAUUUUUAUUUUCCUCGAGGCAAUCCAAAACAUAUUUUGACAUGAAAUGAAUAUUACAAGGAAAAAUAUACAGGGUGGUUGGUAACUGGUGGUACAAGCGGAGAGGGGGUGAUUCUACGCGAAAAAAGAAGUCGAAAAUGUACAAUAAACAUUUUUCGUUUGAGGCUUUGUUUUCGAGAAAAUCGACUUUGAAUUUUCGCUCGGUACGCCUGCGGUACGUUAUAACGUAUCUCACUGUAGAUCGUUGUCUCGAUGGAAAAAUGAAAAAAAAAAAAAAAAAAAAAAAAAUUUUAUUCU
Long non-coding RNA from Bombus huntii, 363 nucleotides. RefSeq lists it as uncharacterized. The transcript has 2 exons. NCBI's taxonomy places the organism in Eukaryota, Metazoa, Arthropoda, Insecta, Hymenoptera, Apidae. The record is from RefSeq and is a predicted model, not a curated record.